AACAGACGAGGAGCUUGCUCCUCUGACGUUAGCGGCGGACGGGUGAGUAACACGUGGAUAACCUACCUAUAAGACUGGGAUAACUUCGGGAAACCGGAGCUAAUACCGGAUAAUAUAUUGAACCGCAUGGUUCAAUAGUGAAAGACGGUUUUGCUGUCACUUAUAGAUGGAUCCGCGCCGCAUUAGCUAGUUGGUAAGGUAACGGCUUACCAAGGCAACGAUGCGUAGCCGACCUGAGAGGGUGAUCGGCCACACUGGAACUGAGACACGGUCCAGACUCCUACGGGAGGCAGCAGCAGGGAAUCUUCCGCAAUGGGCGAAAGCCUGACGGAGCAACGCCGCGUGAGUGAUGAAGGUCUUCGGAUCGUAAAACUCUGUUAUUAGGGAAGAACAAAUGUGUAAGUAACUAUGCACGUCUUGACGGUACCUAAUCAGAAAGCCACGGCUAACUACGUGCCAGCAGCCGCGGUAAUACGUAGGUGGCAAGCGUUAUCCGGAAUUAUUGGGCGUAAAGCGCGCGUAGGCGGUUUUUUAAGUCUGAUGUGAAAGCCCACGGCUCAACCGUGGAGGGUCAUUGGAAACUGGAAAACUUGAGUGCAGAAGAGGAAAGUGGAAUUCCAUGUGUAGCGGUGAAAUGCGCAGAGAUAUGGAGGAACACCAGUGGCGAAGGCGACUUUCUGGUCUGUAACUGACGCUGAUGUGCGAAAGCGUGGGGAUCAAACAGGAUU
This 728-nucleotide ribosomal RNA is filed under the name uncultured Staphylococcus sp. RNAcentral describes it as "bacterial SSU rRNA". It matches the Rfam family "Bacterial small subunit ribosomal RNA", at positions 68 to 779 of the family's 1533-position model. Lineage: Bacteria; Bacillati; Bacillota; Bacilli; Caryophanales; Staphylococcaceae. The record is from RNAcentral.